This 534-nucleotide ribosomal RNA is filed under the name uncultured bacterium. RNAcentral describes it as "bacterial SSU rRNA". It matches the Rfam family "Bacterial small subunit ribosomal RNA", at positions 355 to 902 of the family's 1533-position model. The record is from RNAcentral.
UGGGGAAUCUUGGACAAUGGGGGCAACCCUGAUCCAGCCAUGCCGCGUGAGUGAUGAAGGCCUUAGGGUCGUAAAGCUCUUUCGCCUGUGAAGAUAAUGACGGUAGCAGGUAAAGAAACCCCGGCUAACUCCGUGCCAGCAGCCGCGGUAAUACGGAGGGGGUUAGCGUUGUUCGGAAUUACUGGGCGUAAAGCGCACGUAGGCGGACCAGAAAGUUGGGGGUGAAAUCCCGGGGGCUCAACCCCGGAACUGCCUCCAAAACUAUUGGUCUAGAGUUCGAGAGAGGUGAGUGGAAUUCCAAGUGUAGAGGUGAAAUUCGUAGAUAUUUGGAGGAACACCAGUGGCGAAGGCGGCUCACUGGCUCGAUACUGACGCUGAGGGUGCGAAAAGUGUGGGGAGCAAAACAGGAUUAGAUACCCUGGUAGUCCACACCGUAAAACGAUGAAUGCCAGUCGUCGGGUAGCAUGCUAUUCGGUGACACACCUAACGGAUUAAGCAUUCCGCCUGGGGAGUACGGUCGCAAGAUUAAAACUC